GAUGAACGCUGGCGGCGUGCCUAAUACAUGCAAGUCGAGCGAACGGACGAGAAGCUUGCUUCUCUGAUGUUAGCGGCGGACGGGUGAGUAACACGUGGAUAACCUACCUAUAAGACUGGGAUAACUUCGGGAAACCGGAGCUAAUACCGGAUAAUAUUUUGAACCGCAUGGUUCAAAAGUGAAAGACGGUCUUGCUGUCACUUAUAGAUGGAUCCGCGCUGCAUUAGCUAGUUGGUAAGGUAACGGCUUACCAAGGCAACGAUGCAUAGCCGACCUGAGAGGGUGAUCGGCCACACUGGAACUGAGACACGGUCCAGACUCCUACGGGAGGCAGCAGUAGGGAAUCUUCCGCAAUGGGCGAAAGCCUGACGGAGCAACGCCGCGUGAGUGAUGAAGGUCUUCGGAUCGUAAAACUCUGUUAUUAGGGAAGAACAUAUGUGUAAGUAACUGUGCACAUCUUGACGGUACCUAAUCAGAAAGCCACGGCUAACUACGUGCCAGCAGCCGCGGUAAUACGUAGGUGGCAAGCGUUAUCCGGAAUUAUUGGGCGUAAAGCGCGCGUAGGCGGUUUUUUAAGUCUGAUGUGAAAGCCCACGGCUCAACCGUGGAGGGUCAUUGGAAACUGGAAAACUUGAGUGCAGAAGAGGAAAGUGGAAUUCCAUGUGUAGCGGUGAAAUGCGCAGAGAUAUGGAGGAACACCAGUGGCGAAGGCGACUUUCUGGUCUGUAACUGACGCUGAUGUGCGAAAGCGUGGGGAUCAAACAGGAUUAGAUACCCUGGUAGUCCACGCCGUAAACGAUGAGUGCUAAGUGUUAGGGGGUUUCCGCCCCUUAGUGCUGCAGCUAACGCAUUAAGCACUCCGCCUGGGGAGUACGACCGCAAGGUUGAAACUCAAAGGAAUUGACGGGGACCCGCACAAGCGGUGGAGCAUGUGGUUUAAUUCGAAGCAACGCGAAGAACCUUACCAAAUCUUGACAUCCUUUGACAACUCUAGAGAUAGAGCUUUCCCCUUCGGGGGACAAAGUGACAGGUGGUGCAUGGUUGUCGUCAGCUCGUGUCGUGAGAUGUUGGGUUAAGUCCCGCAACGAGCGCAACCCUUAAGCUUAGUUGCCAUCAUUAAGUUGGGCACUCUAAGUUGACUGCCGGUGACAAACCGGAGGAAGGUGGGGAUGACGUCAAAUCAUCAUGCCCCUUAUGAUUUGGGCUACACACGUGCUACAAUGGACAAUACAAAGGGCAGCGAAACCGCGAGGUCAAGCAAAUCCCAUAAAGUUGUUCUCAGUUCGGAUUGUAGUCUGCAACUCGACUACAUGAAGCUGGAAUCGCUAGUAAUCGUAGACCAGCAUGCUACGGUGAAUACGUUCCCGGGUCU
RNAcentral lists this ribosomal RNA (1372 nucleotides) under uncultured bacterium. RNAcentral's name for it is "bacterial SSU rRNA". It matches the Rfam family "Bacterial small subunit ribosomal RNA", at positions 28 to 1381 of the family's 1533-position model. The record is from RNAcentral.